UUAUUUUGUGAGCUUGAUCUUGAUCUUCCUUGAUGUGUAAUAAUGAUACUAGUAAUAGCUAACAUUGAAUAUUCUGGGGACCAUAUACUAAACCCUCACGUGGAUCAACUAAUUUGAUCACUGUGUUCAUUUUGGAGAUAAGGAAACAGACACAAAAGAUAUAAUUUACUCAGUUAAUUAGUGAGAAUUACUUCAGAGUCUGAACUACUAAAACACUGACAACAUGAGAUUAGGGGGACUUAAUAUAUAAUCAAAGAAUGAUUUUAGAAGACACCUUCUCAAAAACAAACUUGUGCAGAAAACAUCAAAUGUCAUGAUUCUGUAACAGAAUGGGCUGAAAUAUUUAGACCAGUGUGUUCCUAAGAGCUUUAAAAUUGGCAAGUGACAGUUGGUGUGCUGUGAGUUGUGAAUAGAUUAAUAGGUAUUCUUUGGGGAGAUGAGCUUCCUAGUCAAAUAUGAUUGGGAAACAGGACAUGUUCUCAGAACAUUUAAAGAAAUAACUUUCAAAUUAGUGGUCCUGGGAACAUGUCUGAGAAACUGGGGAGUCUUUCACUUCCCUGGUUAUGUGAUUUUUUUUUUUUUUUUUUCUGAUCCUGGGCCAGGGAUCAAACCCAUGCCACAACAGCAACCCAAGCCGCUACAGCGACAAUGCCAGAUCCUUAACCCACUGCACCACAAGAGAAUUUCUUUUUGUAUAGGUUGUUUUGCUCUUGGCAAAGGUUAUCAAUGGUGACCUAGAAGAUUCUCUCAAAAGAUCCUGUAAUCAGGAGAAGAGAACAAAUAGAAAAGGAUUUGUGUUUGUAUCUUUACACACCAGCUCAACCACCUCCUGAUCAGAUGGGAUGGUUUAAAUAGAGGAGAGGCGGUUCAUUGGGAAGAUAGAGGAUUCUUAGAGGUGAUCAAGCAGAAUUUUCCCUAUGGUUCUCCCAAAAUGUAAAAGAAGGAGUAUAUUUCAAUUUUGCUUUUAUUAAACAACUAAAAGUCCCAUCUAGAGUAUGAGUAAUAAGCCAUAGCCAAGUAAGUCUUUGGAAAUACCUAGCAAUAGGGUACAUAUUUAUAGCAUUAAGGUCUAUUUCCCAUUGCCCCCCCCCCCCAAUGUUAGAUUUUCUAACUAGUAGUGGCUAAAAAUAGAACUAGGAAAAGGUAUAGUAAAUCUUCAGUAGGUCACCGCCCUGUUGUGCCUGUGGAAAGAAAGCAGCUCCGUGGGGAGGGAGGGGAGAUGGCCCCCAAGUCCUAAUAGGCCAUUUCUGUCUUCUCCCUAUGAUUGUCCUCAAUCACUUGGCAAUCACGAUGCUAUUAGGAGCACCCUGACCGAAGACACUCAGUGCUUAGAUUUGCCAUUAACAACAUUGACAUUGAAGCUCUGAGGUUGCUGCGGACCUGAUGGGUCUUGAGAGCCUUGAAUUAGACGUCUGCCUGUCUUCUGACAUGUGAAAUGGUCCAGCUCCUUCUGCGGAAGGAUGCUCAGGCAAGAAAUGGAACUGUACGUGCGUGAACAUCUAAGUUAUUUUUUUCUCCUGUGUCUCCACCGUUUAUUACAUGCAAAUGCAGUGAGUCAUGGUUGUUGCCUGUAACUAUGGAGCGCUUCAUACUAAAACUGAAGUUCAGCAGCACCCCCACCCCCACCACCAAACAGGAUUUAUAGAGGGAUUUUCAGAACUCCUCCCUUCCCCGGCUGUUGUCCCCAGGCCACCCUGCAUCCCUACCACGCUGAUCCAGUGUUGGGUGAAACAGACAUUUCCAAAGUGUAAUACUCCAUCUGGGCCCUUUAGAUUUCAUGAUCUGGUAGGAAUUGGGAAGUCAGGCCCAGGUUUCUUUGAGACAGUGUUUGAAGAUCACUCUUCCAAGUUUCAUUAGAUCACCCCUCCUGUCUGCCUGGGUACUCAUGCACAGUGAGGUCAUGCACAGACUUUCCCCAAUACAUAGCAUCAGGAGGAUAUAAUUCUCCAAAUUGGCUACCAGGGCUAAGUUCUAGAUGGUAGUUAGGCAGUUAUAUGUGUACAUAUUCCCUUUAUGAGCAAAAUUGCUGAUCUGUUUCCCUUCCUGACCCCGGGAAAAGAACAGCCAUGAAAAAAAGAAAGCAGAAUCUUAAGAUUCCAAAUAAAUGUUAUCCUUAAAAGGCAUUUGCAUUUGAGACCUUACCCUCAGACUUUUUAUUGAAGAAUAAAAAUAUAAAAUCACAAUUGAAAGUGUUGGGUUUCACUUGAAAGAAAUAAGUAUGUAAAAUACUUGGGAAAACACACCUGGUAUCAUUACAGAUUGAAAUUUGACAUCAUACUGUGAUGGAAGAGAGUAUCUUUGAUUAUUAUUUAUUAUUUUUUCUCUUAAUGAUUUUUAUUUUUUCCCAUUAUAGCUGGUUUACAGUGUUCUGUCAAUUUUGUACUGUACAGCAAAGUGAAACAGUCACACAUACAUAUAUACAUUCUUUUUUCUCACAUUAUCAUGUUCUAUCAUGUGACUAGAUAUAGUUUCAAGUGCUAUGCAGCAGGAUCUCAUUGCUUAUCCAUUCCAAAGGCAAUGGUUUGUAUAUGUUAACUCCAAAUUCCUAGUCCAUCCCACUCCCUCCCCUUCCCCCUUGGCAACCACAAGUCUGUUCUCCAGGUCCAUGAUUUUCUUUUCCGUGGAAAGUUUCAUUUGUGUUGUAUAUUAGAUUCCAGAUAUAAGUGAUGUCAUAUGGUAUUUGUCUUUCUCUUUCUGACUUACUUCAGGAAGAGAGUAUCUUUUAAACUUUUCAGGCGAAGAUUUCUAUAAAAGUUCUCAUAAUCAUCUGAGAAGUGCAGGAAGAUCUUGGAAGACACUGUUAGUCACCAAAUUACUAAUCACUCUCAGAACUCAUCAUGCAGGAAACUAACUUGCUGGAAGGAACAGUGAUAAGAUUAGCAAGGGUAGCCUCAUUCAUUAGAAGGACCUUGCUGGGUUUUUAAAAAAAUUUUUAUUUUUAUCUAUUUAUUUAUUUAUUUAUUUUUUACAUUUUAAUUUAUUAGAUUAUCCUUAACCCACUGAGCAAGGCCAAGGAUCGAACCCGCAACCUCAUGGUUCCCAGUCGGAUUCGUUAACCACUGUGCCACGAUAGGAACUCCUAUUUGUUUAUUUUUAACUAAGGACUUGCCAACAGUUUAAGUUCAUGGGUUCUCCAUUUCCCCCCAUUUUCAUAUAUUGGUGAAUGGUCUUCUUUCAUUCCUUUCCUCCCUUCUUGAUGUCUCACAUCUUCCCAAGAAUAAGAAGACACAGCAGCAAAGGUCAGACGAAACAUAUAAUACUCUGAAGGGAGAACAGGACUAAUGGAACAUACCCCAUUUCUGGUUACAUGCUUACUGAGUAGGGUUUCUGGCAUGUAACGACCUGAGUUAAGUGAAAGAUGAAAGAAGUAUAGGAUUUUAUGGACUUAGUCACCUUCCUCAAUUAAAUGGCUUAAGUUCAUCUCAUUUGUAAUUUGUCAAACUUUGGACACAGAAAACAAAUGAGGUUAUAACUAACUCCUUUCAGAGAUGGAUACGCCAGGCAAGCCUUUGGGACAUCUGGUCCACCUGAUAAUUAAGGACCUCAUUCUAAACUAGUAACUGGUUUAUUUUGAAAAUGGAAAUGAAUGAAGAUGCAGAACCUUAGACACAGAGAGGCAUGGCCAAUUUCUGUUUUGAUAUGCAAGAAAAUUAUUUGAAUUAGUGAAGGACUUUAAAUAUGAAACCAAGGAACCUGGUCACUGAAUCGUGCAGUAAAUUGUAUAAUAAGUGAAUCCUUCUCAUAAUAUUGAUCUCCUUCACUUUGCAUGUCAGUGUAUCAGUACCCUUCACUCCAGGCUCCCUACAUGAAUGAGAAUGUCCAGGAUGCAAAGACUUGGGUUAAAUAUUACUGAUGGAAUAUUUCCAGUUUGGGACUCAUUCCGUUGUCUUUAAUUGUCCUAGAACAAUAACUGUGGAGCGUUUUCCCUUUUUGCUACAUCACUCUCUUACAUGCAUUUAAUAAUUUCAGUCUGCUGUCAGGUCUUUCCUAAACCAUGUGCAUAAUUGGAUACAUGUAGUACAACAAAAGAUCCUCUUUGACACCUGCCAUUUCAGAAAACAAGUGCAAGUAAAGAAACAAAGAUAUUAUAAUAGACAGAUGUAUUUAUUUUGACAAGUGUGAUUUGUUUUUAAUUAUUAAUUUUUCACAGUAUACUAGUAACUUGUCUUGUAGGAUGUUUUGUAAAAGCAACAUCUGAUAAUGUGUCAUUACCAUAUUAGCAUACCUCUGUGCAAUUAAGGAUCGAGUCAGAAUAGGGGCUGACUUUCAUUUUUAGUGAGAAUUGCCAUGAAGCUAGGGAAAAAUAUGAACAUGUGAAUUCAUACUAAUAUUGCCCUAUGUUAAGCUUUUCUUCAACAAUUUGAAAAUCUUUCGUUGUUUCCACCACAAUGAAACCCCGAAACCUCCAUUGGUAAAGAAUUCUAUAAUUGUUUCAGUCAUCCAUUUCUGUAAGUUUUUGACAUGUGGAAUUUUUGUUGUUGUUGUUGUUGUUGUUUUUAACAACGUUGAACACUUUGGCUUAUGGAAAUGUAUCAUAGAACAUAUUCCUAGUUCUAACAGAGUUAUGAGAACAAAGCUGAGAAGCAUUUGAAUCCAUCUUUUUGUUUGGGUAAUGGUUAAGGAAAUCUGAAGGGACCUGGGUAAUUUCUCAGCAGUGAUUGUUUCACUCUACUUCACUCAAACAAUUUAAAUUUCCCCUUUGAGUGAGCAUCGUCUUGGUUUAAAUGUCCUGGUGCUGAGUUUCCUUGACAAACUCAAAACGGCAAGAAGAAAGAUAUGGGAGGAAAGAUGUGCCCCUCCCCCAUCCCCACCACCCUUUCAAAGACUAAAAAAUCUGAUUUUCCUUUAAUUUGUACUCAGCGGUGUCAGCUCUGUCAGAGGAAAGGGCAUCCCCGCUGACAGUAAUCAUUAUAACUCCAGGAGACCAGCAGAGAUAAAUAUACUAUAAGCCAUCUUCUGAGUGGGUCAUACUUGUCCUGAUACUUUUGAGGUCCAGGUACUUUGCAGAAAGAUUUCCUCCAUCAGAUGAGUUCUCAUGCCCAAAGAUGUGCUUGUUUUUGAUCUUUUCAUAGAAAAAUAUUAAUAUAUUACACCUCAAAAUAUGCCAAGUGUGUUUCUUGAAGGACUCUUUUUUUUAAGUGAAAAAUUGAUGCUAAUAUUCAGCAAAUAGGAUCUCCAUAAAUUAAAAACAAAACACAAAUCCAGAAACCCUUAACGCCAUAUGUAAAUGAAAUUGGCAUUUUGUUCUAGUCUCUCAUGACUGAACUGAAUAUUUGCAGAAUUAAUUGAAAAUUGAAUAUAUAUUUGAUAUGUGUAUCAAAUUCAAAAGCAUGCAACAUCUAGAUUUGGGGGUUUAUUAUUAUUAUUAUUAUUAUUUGCAAUUCAUAACUCCUCCAGAAGGUAAAACAAAUAACAUCAAGCAAGCCUCUGCUGGUAGAAUUAGAUUAUGUUGGUUUUCACUGCUACUUUAAAUAUUAUUGUCUUAUUCGCCUUUGUUCUCUAAGUUUGGCCUACUGUAACCUCUGUAAAAUGUACUUAAGUCGCAAUUUCUCUAUCACGUCCCAAGAUUGUAAGAGAAGCAGGUAAGGAAUCACUCAACCUUGUUUUACUAGAAUGGGCAUUUGCACUGUUACUAUGGAACAUGGUUCUGGUAAUGACUAUCUUCUUCUAAAAGAAUGUUUUCAUUGUAUUUUCUACUGCAUGGCUUUUAUGGCAUUUGGAGAUAAAAUUUAAGCAACUGAAUCUGCAAACAUAGUUUAAUGUCGUUUAUAUGAUUCUUCCAGAGUGUUUCCUUUUUCAUUUUGCGUGGAUAAGUCUCUUUCUAUUUUAUAUACAUCCGUCAGAUAAAUCCUAUGAUGUAUCAUAUAAAUUCAUGUUUUGCGAGUGUUGGAGUGACAUCAAAAUGAAAAGUUGUUAUAUUGGUUAUAAUGACAGGUAAGUUUUAUUUUCGCUUUAAAAUUAUUUUGUACCUUGUAAAAAUUUACCAUAGAUGGUGAAGCAUUUUUGUAAUC
This 6011-nucleotide long non-coding RNA is filed under the name Sus scrofa (pig). RNAcentral's name for it is "lncRNA (ENSSSCG00000062711.1)". Lineage: Eukaryota; Metazoa; Chordata; Mammalia; Artiodactyla; Suidae. The record is from RNAcentral.